CAUGUAAACUACACACACACAAGGUGGAGUCGGGAAUCGAAUCCCCACCCCUGGAGGUGUGAGGCCAACGUGCUACCCACUAAGCCACCGUGCCCCAUUUGACAUAUUAAAUAACUAAAUAGCAUUCGUGUCUAGCAAUGCAGAAGCAUUUUUAUCAAAAUGGGUAGCAGUGCAGAGGAGAUGGCCCUGAGCCUGAAUGCUGGAAGGCCAAUUGCUGAGGGAAUUCCUGGAGGGACUUCAUCAGAGCCAGUCACUCCAGAUUUAAGUGCCUUCAUAAAAUGUAGAGAUCUACCUACAAUUUGUAUGGUAAUAUCUGUCUCUUGGAGCCUCCUGUCCCAACAGAACCCCAGGCAGUUAAACGGCCAUUCAUCCACGACCAUCACCUCCUGUUGCACCAUGAUAAUGCACGGCCACAUGUUGUAAGGAUCUGUACACAAUUCCUGGAAGCUGAAAACAUCCCAGUUCUUGCAUGGCCAGCAUACUCACUGGACAAUGUCACCCACUGAACAUGAUUGGGAUGCUCUGGAUUGGUGUAUACAACAGCGUAUUCCAGUUCCUGCCAAUAUCCAGCAAAUUCGCCCAGCCAUUGAAGAGGAGUGGAACAACAUUCCACAGGUCAUAAUCAACAAAUUGAUCAACUCUAUGUGAAGAUGUGUUGCACUGCAUGAACCAAAUGGUGGUCACACCAGAUACUGACUGGUUUUCUGACCCCCCAACACAGUAAAAUUACAUAUUUUAAAAUGGCCUUUUAUUGCGGCCAGCCUAAAGCACACCUGGGCAAUAAUCAUGCUGUCUAAUCAGCAUCUUGAUAUGCCACACCUGUGAGGUGGCUGGAUUAUCUCAGAAGUGCUCACUGACACAGAUUUAGACAGAUCUGUGAACGAUAUUUGAGAGAAAUAGGCCUUUUGUGAAAAAGUUCAGCUCAUGAAAAAUGGGGGCAAAAACAAAAGUGUUGCAUUUGUUCAGCGUAAUUUAUUUUAAAGAAAAUCAAAUCCAAAUUUGUUAAAACAACAUUGUUUCAUAUUUACUAUACAGUGUGAUGAUCUUUGCACAUAAAUGUUCUUGUUAGGAAUCAAAAUGGCAGUGCACAUGUUUUUGUGAUGUCACAUGAACACACAGCAUAGUAUGGUGAAGUAGGUGAUGUUCAAAUUCUUUUUCAGUUCUUUUUGGCCAUUAUUGUUGUUGAAGUUCAUGACCCUGAUUCAGGACCUUCCAGUUCCUGUGAUCGCAAUGGUUAAUAAUUUAAUUUCCAAAGCAGCAGGAUGCCAGCUAGUUGCCAGUUGUGAUAUUGCUGUAGCGACAGACAAAUCGAGCUUUGCGACUCCCAGUGUGAAUGUCAGCCUGUUCUGCUCUACUCCAGGAGUGGCUAUUGGAAGAGCUGUUCCUAAAGAGGUAACUAGGAACUUGUAACCUUUUUAUUUUUUUCCAUCAAGCAUCCUAAACCAUGUUGUGUUUUACCCAAAUGAUGUUUACAGGAGGCUUUGCUACAUGGAUUAGUCAGUAUGGUGGUGCAUGAGGAAUAUUUGGAGGAAGAAGCACUGGCCAUCGCACACAGAAUCUGUAAGUCCAGUCACCCAGAGUCGGCUCUCGGAAAAGCAGCCUUUCAGAGGCAGAUGGCACGAGGCAGAUGGCACAAAGGCACGAAGCCGAGAUGCUGUCAUGGUGGACAAUCUGGCACUGCAUGAUGGGCAGGAGGGAAUUCAAGCUUUUGUAGAAAAAUGCUAACCUCUGUAGACCAACAGCACUGAGAAAGCACAUGACUAAAUCAACUAACAAACCACACAAGUGACUGUGUAAAAAAAAAGCAUCAUUUCAGCAUUAGAAUGUAUUUGAGAUUGAACAGUGUGUAUUCAUAAACAAAGAGCCAGACUCUGUAUUGUGUGAUGACAGAUUUCUGAUUUUACUUUAAGAUCCUAGAUCCAAUCAUGAGUUUUAUUUAAAUUAAAUGUGACUGUGUAGUUGUCAGUGAAGGCACAUGGCAUGACUCAUGUAAAAUAUUAUAGAAUUACAAUUUCCUAACCAUGAAGAAUCCCUUACUUUUUAAGACUUUUUUUCUUGGAUUUCUCCAAGCAUCAAGUUUAAGAGAUUAUUGCCUCUGUCAAGGUUACGUCACCUUAGAUGGAUUUUCAAUUUAACAGAGAAAGGAACCUAAGUGAAACACUUGUCUGAAUUAAUGAUGAGCACAAACAUCAGAAUAUGCAAAGUGGAUUUAAAUCAUCUAGUACAGUUACACUUUAAAUGAAAGGUUCGGUGCCAUCUUGUUUUAAUGCAUUAUACAGUGACCCAUAUGAUUUCACUCAAAUUGCUCUUCAUUCAUUUUUGCUUUUCGUGAAGGUUGCUAAUCAAAUCAAGUCAAAACCCAAGUCAAGUCAUAUAAAUGACAUCAAGUGUAUGUCAAAUCAACACUAGCUUUAUAGCAUGAGAAGCAAAGGGCAGUUAGCAUUUGGGGUAAAAUGAUAUAGUUUUUUAAUUGUAUUACAUUCUGGGAAGCAAGAAAAAUUAGCAAAGUCAAACUGUUGGCUUUAAUCAAAAGAAGAAAUUGGAUCUGACAACUGAGUAAUUUUUCUCUUCCUUACAUAUUUUAGUUUCAAGCAUGUUAUGAAAAAAUCAUGACAUCAUUCUGGUUAUAUA
This is a long non-coding RNA of Tachysurus fulvidraco (yellow catfish), 2631 nucleotides long. RefSeq lists it as uncharacterized. The record is from RefSeq and is a predicted model, not a curated record. Lineage: Eukaryota; Metazoa; Chordata; Actinopteri; Siluriformes; Bagridae. The transcript has 3 exons.